UACGUAGGGGGCAAGCGUUGUCCGGAUUUAUUGGGCGUAAAGAGCGUGUAGGCGGCUAGAUAGGUCCGUUGUGAAAACUCGAGGCUCAACCUCGAGACGUCGAUGGAAACCAUCUGGCUAGAGUCCGGAAGAGGAGAGUGGAAUUCCUGGUGUAGCGGUGAAAUGCGCAGAUAUCAGGAAGAACACCCGUGGCGAAGGCGGCUCUCUGGGACGUGACUGACGCUGAGGCACGAAGGUCAGGGGAGCAAACGGG
Molecule: ribosomal RNA, 253 nt
Filed under: uncultured bacterium
Lineage: Bacteria
Description: partial 16S ribosomal RNA
Rfam family: Bacterial small subunit ribosomal RNA
Source: RNAcentral